GAUCCUGGCUCAGGAUGAACGCUGGCGGCGUGCUUAACACAUGCAAGUCGAACGAAGCAUUUAGAACAGGUUAUUUCGGUAUGAAGUUUCUUUAUGACUGAGUGGCGGACGGGUGAGUAACGCGUGGGUAACCUGCCUUGUACUGGGGGAUAGCAGCUGGAACGGCUGGUAAUACCGCAUAAGCGCACAAUGUUGCAUGACAUAGGUGUGAAAAACUCCGGUGGUAUAAGACUGGACCCGCG
This 242-nucleotide ribosomal RNA is filed under the name uncultured bacterium. RNAcentral describes it as "partial 16S ribosomal RNA". It matches the Rfam family "Bacterial small subunit ribosomal RNA", at positions 15 to 235 of the family's 1533-position model. The record is from RNAcentral.